CUGGCAGCCCUGCAGCUUCUUCUGUAUCCCCACAGCACAGAUGCACCACAGGUAGUGACAGUGCCAACAUCCCUCCGCUGCCCCUGCCACAUGCCUCGCCCUGACUUGGAGAGGCCACCUCUAGAGGGGAAGGAAGAGUCUGAAUCUAUUCAUUCUCUAUUGAGACU
Molecule: small RNA, 167 nt
Filed under: Capra hircus (goat)
Lineage: Eukaryota; Metazoa; Chordata; Mammalia; Artiodactyla; Bovidae
Description: TUC338 (ENSCHIG00000002935.1)
Source: RNAcentral